GACGAACGCUGGCGGCGUGCUUAACACAUGCAAGUCGAACGGAAAGGCCCUGCUUGCAGGGUACUCGAGUGGCGAACGGGUGAGUAACACGUGGGUGAUCUGCCCUGCACUUCGGGAUAAGCCUGGGAAACUGGGUCUAAUACCGGAUAGGAGCCAUUUUUAGUGUGAUGGUUGGAAAGUUUUUUCGGUGUAGGAUGAGCUCGCGGCCUAUCAGCUUGUUGGUGGGGUAAUGGCCUACCAAGGCGGCGGCGGGUAGCCGGCCUGCGAGGGUGGACGGCCACAGUGGGACUGAGAUACGGCCCAGACUCCUACGGGAGGCAGCAGUGGGGAAUAUUGCACAAUGGGCGCAAGCCUGAUGCAGCGACGCCGCGUGGGGGAUGACGGCCUUCGGGUUGUAAACUCCUUUCGCUAGGGACGAAGCUUUUUGUGACGGUACCUAGAUAAGAAGCACCGGCUAACUACGUG
This 465-nucleotide ribosomal RNA is filed under the name uncultured bacterium. Its description in RNAcentral is "partial 16S ribosomal RNA". It matches the Rfam family "Bacterial small subunit ribosomal RNA", at positions 28 to 507 of the family's 1533-position model. The record is from RNAcentral.